GAUAAAGGAAAAGCUAAGAUAUAAAAGGGAGGCGACAGGAUGGUGGUGGUGAUGAAGAUUAAAUGAUGCUAUCUUCAAGUGCUUCAUAAGUAAAAUGAUGCUCACCAAUUCAAUUCCGAAUUUGGAUCCAUAAUGAUCAAAUUACCAGCAUAUCAACAUCUCUGUUUCUGCAUUCCAGCAUCUCUGUCAGCUUACUGAUUUUUUUUUCUCUGCUUUUACAAUUGGUUUCUUCAUCUUUAGUUAGAACUCAUUCCUUGUUGAAUUAGAAGUACAUUUUAGUUGUGAUUUAGAUCCUACAGAUGGAUGCUCGUAGAUUUAAACCAAUCUGCUUCUAGUGGCUGGCAGUGUUCAGCAUGGCUAGAUUUCAGAAUUCAUUAACUUCAAAACCCUUCUCCCAAA
Molecule: long non-coding RNA, 399 nt
Organism: Zingiber officinale
Lineage: Eukaryota; Viridiplantae; Streptophyta; Magnoliopsida; Zingiberales; Zingiberaceae
Exons: 2
Source: RefSeq, a predicted model, not a curated record